AUAAAACAACAUAAAUAAAUCUAACUUAACUUGUUUUUGGUUGGGGCGACCAAGGGGAAAAACAAAACCCCCUUAUCGACUGAGUAUUCAACAUACUUAAAAAUUAAAACGAAUAGUUUUAAUUAAUAGAACAUCUAACGAACAAUGACCCAGGACACACAUCCUGAUCAAUGAACCAAGUUACCCUAGGGAAUAACAGCGA
This 202-nucleotide ribosomal RNA is filed under the name Rhynchobatus australiae (whitespotted wedgefish). Its description in RNAcentral is "partial large subunit ribosomal RNA". The record is from RNAcentral. Lineage: Eukaryota; Metazoa; Chordata; Chondrichthyes; Rhinopristiformes; Rhynchobatidae.